RNAcentral lists this ribosomal RNA (433 nucleotides) under uncultured eukaryote. RNAcentral describes it as "bacterial SSU rRNA". It matches the Rfam family "Eukaryotic small subunit ribosomal RNA", at positions 1212 to 1656 of the family's 1831-position model. The record is from RNAcentral.
AACUCACCAGGUCAGGACACGGUAAGGAUUGACGGACUGAAGGCUCUUUCUCGAUUCCGUGGAAAGUGGUGCAUGGCCGUUUUGGUUGGUGGAUCGAUCCGUCUGGUUAAUUCCGUUAACGAACGAGACCUCGGCACUCCGAAUAGCGCGGCGGACGUCGCGGCCUCCGGGCCGUCUUCCGCACGAGCUUCUUAGAGGGACCGUCCCCCGCCGGGGAAGGAGGUGCGAGGCAACGACAGGUCUGUGAUGCCCUUAGAUGUUCUGGGCCGCACGCGCAUUACACUGACGCGUCCAACGGGUGACUCCCGACCCGAAGGGGCCGGGGAAUCCGCAAGGCGCGUCGUGAUGGGGAUUGAACGUUGCAAUUGUUGUUCACGAACGAGGAAUUCCUAGUAGGCGCGGGUCAUCAACCCGCGCCGAUUACGUCCCUGCA